AGCGAACGCUGGCGGCAGGCUUAACACAUGCAAGUCGAACGGUCCUUCGGGAUAGUGGCGGACGGGUGAGUAACACGUGGGAACGUACCCUUAGGUUCGGAACAACACAGGGAAACUUGUGCUAAUACCGUAUAAGCCCUUCGGGGUAAAGAUUUAUCGCCUUUGGAGCGGCCCGCGUCUGAUUAGCUUGUUGGUGAGGUAAUGGCGCACCAAGGCUACGAUCAGUAGCUGGUCUGAGAGGAUGGCCAGCCACACUGGGACUGAGACACGGCCCAGACUCCUACGGGAGGCAGCAGUGGGGAAUCUUGCGCAAUGGGCGAAAGCCUGACGCAGCCAUGCCGCGUGGAUGAUGAAGGUCUUAGGAUUGUAAAAUCCUUUCACCGGGGACGAUAAUGACGGUACCCGGAGAAGAAGCCCCGGCUAACUUCGUGCCAGCAGCCGCGGUAA
This 447-nucleotide ribosomal RNA is filed under the name uncultured bacterium. RNAcentral's name for it is "partial 16S ribosomal RNA". It matches the Rfam family "Bacterial small subunit ribosomal RNA", at positions 29 to 523 of the family's 1533-position model. The record is from RNAcentral.